AAGCCUGCGGCCCUUUUCUCUGCACCGCCGCCAUCGUGACCACCUCGGCCGACUUUCCAGAGCCCCGGCGUCCUUCCCCGCCGCCCACCGCCAUCGCCGAACGUCGCCGUCGCGCUGCAACCGCCCUGCGGCCGCCCUGCUUCAGUUUGGCCGAACUUUGGCCCGCUUCAGCCCCGCGCGCAGCCGCCGCCCAACGACGGCCUAGCUACCCUUCUCCGGCCUCCAUCAACCCUCCGCCGCCGUCCCGGAGCUUCCCGCCGGCCGCCGU
RNAcentral lists this long non-coding RNA (268 nucleotides) under Ananas comosus (pineapple). RNAcentral's name for it is "long non-coding RNA (ACOM_LNC043293)". Lineage: Eukaryota; Viridiplantae; Streptophyta; Magnoliopsida; Poales; Bromeliaceae. The record is from RNAcentral.